AAAAGUUUGAACGUGCGCUUUCCCAUUGUUCUUAAAUGCUCUGAUUUUUAAAAGGUCAAUAGAAAGAUGCCCACCUUUUUUGAUGGUUUAUAAACGCAAGAGCCAAUAAUUUCAAUAUUUUCCAGUUUUUGAUGACUGGAGUGGCAGAUAUGGCCUUCAUGCUUCUUUCUGCCUCUGAUGUGUCAAGUCACAGUCUGCUCCUUUAUAAUUAGCUCAAUCGUGCACACAUGUUUGGAUCUCAGCUAUUUAAACCCCCUGCCUGGCACUUUGUUUGCAUGCUCAUACAAAGUGCCAGUGUUAUUCUUUGGAUUGGUGCUUCUGCUCCUGACUAUCCCAUCCCAUCCCACUCCUGCCCUGGUCUGGAAGGAGAUCCCGCAGGACACCAUCCAUCAUCUCAUCAGGAGCAAGCCUGGAGGUCAUAAGGAGGGCAGACAGACCCGUGGAGACUGUACAGACUACCCCGCCACAUUGAUGUGGUGUGUAUUUCUCUGGCCCAGUGUUGGAGAGUUCUGA
RNAcentral lists this long non-coding RNA (513 nucleotides) under Takifugu rubripes (torafugu). RNAcentral's name for it is "lncRNA (ENSTRUG00000029433.1)". The record is from RNAcentral. Lineage: Eukaryota; Metazoa; Chordata; Actinopteri; Tetraodontiformes; Tetraodontidae.